AAUAUUUUACAAUGGGCGAAAGCCUGAUCCAGCAAUGCCGCGUGUGUGAGGAAGGUCUUCGGAUUGUAAAGCACUUUAAGUUGGGAGGAAGGGCUUUAGGCUAAUACCCUGAAGUUUUGACGUUACCGACAGAAUAAGCACCGGCUAACUUCGUGCCAGCAGACGCGGUAAUACGAAGGGUGCAAGCGUUAAUCGGAAGUACUGGGAGUAAAGCGCGCGUAGGUGGUUUGUUAAGUUGGAAGUGAAAGCCCUGGGCUCAACCUGGGAACUGCUUUCAAAACUGGCAAGCUAGAGUAUGGCAGAGGGUGGUGGAAUUUCCUGUGUAGCGGUGAAAUGCGUAGAUAUAGGAAGGAACACCAGUGGCGAAGGCGACCACCUGGGCUAAUACUGACACUGAGGUGCGAAAGCGUGGGGAGCAAAC
Molecule: ribosomal RNA, 421 nt
Filed under: uncultured bacterium
Lineage: Bacteria
Description: partial 16S ribosomal RNA
Rfam family: Bacterial small subunit ribosomal RNA
Source: RNAcentral